RNA transcript from Saccostrea cuccullata (small rock oyster), 895 nucleotides. RefSeq lists it as uncharacterized. Lineage: Eukaryota; Metazoa; Mollusca; Bivalvia; Ostreida; Ostreidae. The transcript is spliced from 6 exons. The record is from RefSeq and is a predicted model, not a curated record.
AAACGGUUUAGAGGGUGAGGGUUUGGAAAGGUUCACUAAGGCUGUAGAUACAGUUCACAACUACAUGACGAAGAAGAUCCUGGGUACUCUAAGGAAAGAGGACACAGAAUUCAUGGAGAGUCUACAAGGUAAGGAGGAAGAGGUGUGUGAGAAUUCCCUGCCCCCCUCACCUGUCCCCCACACCGUGUCUCCCCCGGCCUCACCGAUGUCCAGUGUCGACAGUGGAGACAGUCUUAUAUUUCUAGGCUCAGAGGAACCGGAUCCAGAAAUCACUAAAAUAUAUGAGAAGAUUAAAGAGAGAAAGAGAGUCUUGUGAAGUUUUUAAAAUCCAGUGAAGUAAAGCAAUAUCUGCUAGAUAUCCUCAGGGAGAAGAAGAAGAGUGAGAAACACACCACCUACAGAUAUGGCCUAUCUAAGGCGAGGGACGGCCUUAAAAACCCGGGGUUUGGACCAAUCGCUGACGAAGAACAGCAUGAUGACAUUUUGAACACCAUGUUGGCCUGGUACAAACAGGAGACAAAGGUUGCUAGUGAUGAGUUCCCUGACUGGAACUAUGUCCUGGAUGUUUGGAUACCAGAGGCCAUAGUGUAUGCCUUAAUAAAGUUGAAGAAGUACACUCGUAAGAAGGCAUGGCAGCGGUUUGAGAAAGGUGUGUACAUAACAAAGAAAGAAAGGGCCGAGGUCCACAAGUCGAUACUGGAGAGUGCUAAAAGAAUAUCACCCGAGGACGUACAGAGAUACGAGGAGAAUCUAAAGGACAGGAUGAACGUCAUCUGUCAACGGAGCGGACUUCAGAAUAUCAUAUUAUGAUUGCCAUCUAAAGGACAGGAUGAACGUCAUCUGUCAAUGGAGUGGACUUCAGAAUAUCACAUUAUGAUUACGAUUUACAGGACAG